Molecule: long non-coding RNA, 324 nt
Filed under: Homo sapiens (human)
Lineage: Eukaryota; Metazoa; Chordata; Mammalia; Primates; Hominidae
Description: non-protein coding lnc-C9orf152-2:1
Source: RNAcentral
GGGCCCCCACUCAGCAUCCAGUUCCUGCGAGCCCAGUAUGAAGGCUUGAAGAGGCAGCAGAGGACCCAGGCCCACCUCCUGGUGCUUCCAAAAGGUAGGCCCUGCCGUAUCCUUGAGAACCAUCUCAGAGGACCCUCUUUUGGGAUGCAGCUUCCUCAUCCCAAAGCUUUGGAAAACCCUGAGCUUCCCCACUAGGGCUGACCUGUCUGCCUUUCAUCAUUACAUAGAACCAGAAGUGUGCUGAUGACUUCAUGUCUUGGAGUUUCUCUAAUUUCAGCAUUAUUCUUGAGAUGGACUGGAAGUCAUAUGAAGACCAGAGAGAAU